Molecule: non-coding RNA, 36 nt
Filed under: unclassified sequences
Description: DUF805b RNA
Rfam family: DUF805b RNA
About the family: Bacteroidetes, Chlorobi (1 example), Proteobacteria. Lineage (Flavobacteria)
Source: RNAcentral
ACGGAGUAACCCGAAAAGCCAUUAAAUGAGUAGGGA